Long non-coding RNA from Onychostoma macrolepis, 630 nucleotides. RefSeq lists it as uncharacterized. The transcript is spliced from 3 exons. Lineage: Eukaryota; Metazoa; Chordata; Actinopteri; Cypriniformes; Cyprinidae. The record is from RefSeq and is a predicted model, not a curated record.
CUCAAUAAAAAUGCAGCCUAUCUGAAUACACACAAAUAUAACUGAAAUUCAUAAUAUUACAGUAAGGCAAAGAUAAUAAGUAUGACAUUUCAUAAUGUCUGAAUAAGUUAAAAUGCAUUACAUGUUAGUAGGAAUUCAUAGAAACACAAACAUCUAUAUAUGAUAUUGUCCUGACGCUUCCCCUUUAAGAAAUCCGAGUGUAGUGCGCGUGCAACUGUAGCGCGCAUACUUUGAACAGUAACGGUCAAAGAGGAGAAGAAGCUGAGAAAUCGAGUGAUUAACGUUGUUUAACUUGUUAAAAUGUAUUUAAAGAUGCUAAAGAGGAAGAAAUAGUAAUACUUAUCUGAUCUGCAUCCUAAACGAACAGUUUUGGGUUAACAAUAUCUGUUGGAUCCUAUGUACCCAGCCUCAACCAUUCAUCAGAAGGACUGUGAAAGCGGGAACUCUUUGAACCACCAGUGGCAGUUUCCACGGGAUGAAAAAGGGCAUAGUAGUGGAUGAUGAGGUCCUGAGACCAUAUGGGGUGAGGAUCAAGACAACCAAACCAAAGGUGGACUGUAACCUACUGGACUAUAUGAUAGACUUCAUACUGACAACCAUGUAUGCAGCAUGAAAAGUUUUUGAAAAAAG